AGUAUGAUCAGCUCGUCGAAAGAAUGAAUCAAUGACACUCUGUCUUCGUGGAGAGCAGCCUGGGUGUGGAAUCAGGCACCCCCGGGUUCAAAGCCAUCACUGGCGAACUCACAAAGAGUGGGACUCACCGACCUGAGGGUUUGCCAGCACACUCGUAGCCCGUGGGACUAGAGUAUUUGUGAGAGAGGAGCAUGGUCUUUUGAUUGAAGAACGGAAGUCAUUCGUGAAGGACACAGCACACACAGCCCAGAGAGCUCGCAGGUUAAAACUGGGCAUGGAGCAAUGUCUGCCAGCCAUUCAGGGGACUUCAAAAUAGCAAACACAGUAUCCACAAUCAAGUUAUUUAGACCUUUUAGAUUGUAUACAAAUGACACAGAAAAAUGUACAGCCAGUCCACUGGGUUGUAAUUUUAGAAACAAACAUCUCAAGUCAUAAUAACAAAGCAGAGUUUUAAAAA
Molecule: non-coding RNA, 457 nt
Filed under: Pan troglodytes (chimpanzee)
Lineage: Eukaryota; Metazoa; Chordata; Mammalia; Primates; Hominidae
Source: RNAcentral